CAGUAGCCGCGGUAAUACGAAGGGUGCAAGCGUUAAUCGGAAUUACUGGGCGUAAAGCGUGCGCAGGCGGUUUGUUAAGACAGAUGUGAAAUCCCCGGGCUCAACCUGGGAACUGCAUUUGUGACUGGCAGGCUAGAGUAUGGCAGAGGGGGGUGGAAUUCCGCGUGUAGCAGUGAAAUGCGUAGAUAUGCGGAGGAACACCGAUGGCGAAGGCAGCCCCCUGGGCCAAUACUGACGCUCAUGCACGAAAGCGUGGGGAGCAAACAGGAUUAGAGACCCGCGUAGUCCCUGUCUCUUAUAC
Molecule: ribosomal RNA, 301 nt
Filed under: uncultured bacterium
Lineage: Bacteria
Description: partial 16S ribosomal RNA
Rfam family: Bacterial small subunit ribosomal RNA
Source: RNAcentral